AUUGAACGCUGGCGGCAUGCCUUACACAUGCAAGUCGAACGGCAGCACGGGAGCAAUCCUGGUGGCGAGUGGCGAACGGGUGAGUAAUAUAUCGGAACGUGCCCAGUCGUGGGGGAUAACGCAGCGAAAGCUGUGCUAAUACCGCAUACGAUCUCUGGAUGAAAGCGGGGGACCUGCAAGGGCCUCGCGCGAUUGGAGCGGCCGAUAUCAGAUUAGCUAGUUGGUGGGGUAAAAGCCUACCAAGGCGACGAUCUGUAGCUGGUCUGAGAGGACGACCAGCCACACUGGAACUGAGACACGGUCCAGACUCCUACGGGAGGCAGCAGUGGGGAAUUUUGGACAAUGGGCGCAAGCCUGAUCCAGCAAUGCCGCGUGCAGGAUGAAGGCCUUCGGGUUGUAAACUGCUUUUGUACGGAACGAAACGGUUCGCCUUAAUACGGUGGGCUAAUGACGGUACCGUAAGAAUAAGCACCGGCUAACUACGUGCCAGCAGCCGCGGUAAUACGUAGGGUGCGAGCGUUAAUCGGAAUUACUGGGCGUAAAGCGUGCGCAGGCGGUUAUAUAAGACAGAUGUGAAAUCCCCGGGCUCAACCUGGGACCUGCAUUUGUGACUGUAUAGCUAGAGUACGGUAGAGGGGGAUGGAAUUCCGCGUGUAGCAGUGAAAUGCGUAGAUAUGCGGAGGAACACCGAUGGCGAAGGCAAUCCCCUGGACCUGUACUGACGCUCAUGCACGAAAGCGUGGGGAGCAAACAGGAUUAGAUACCCUGGUAGUCCACGCCCUAAACGAUGUCAACUGGUUGUUGGGUCUUCACUGACUCAGUAACGAAGCUAACGCGUGAAGUUGACCGCCUGAGGG
This 857-nucleotide ribosomal RNA is filed under the name uncultured bacterium. RNAcentral's name for it is "bacterial SSU rRNA". It matches the Rfam family "Bacterial small subunit ribosomal RNA", at positions 28 to 879 of the family's 1533-position model. The record is from RNAcentral.